Molecule: ribosomal RNA, 489 nt
Filed under: uncultured bacterium
Lineage: Bacteria
Description: partial 16S ribosomal RNA
Rfam family: Bacterial small subunit ribosomal RNA
Source: RNAcentral
AUUGAACGCUGGCGGCAGGCCUAACACAUGCAAGUCGAACGGUAACAGGAAGAAGCUUGCUUCUUUGCUGACGAGUGGCGGACGGGUGAGUAAUGUCUGGGAAACUGCCUGAUGGAGGGGGAUAACUACUGGAAACGGUAGCUAAUACCGCAUAACGUCGCAAGACCAAAGAGGGGGACCUCGGGGCCCCUUCCAUCCGGUGGUGCCCGAUGGGAUUAGCUAGUAGGUGGGGGAAAGGCUCACCUAGGCGACGAUCCCCAGCUGGGCUGAGAGGAUGACCAGCCACACUGGAACUGAGACACGGUCCAGACUCCUACGGGAGGCAGCAGUGGGGAAUAUUGCACAAUGGGCGCAAGCCUGAUGCAGCCAUGCCGCGUGUAUGAAGAAGGCCUUCGGGUUGUAAAGUACUUUCAGCGGGGAGGAAGGGAGUAAAGUUAAUACCUUUGCUCAUUGACGUUACCCGCAGAAGAAGCACCGGCUAACUCCGUG